Molecule: ribosomal RNA, 254 nt
Filed under: uncultured bacterium
Lineage: Bacteria
Description: partial 16S ribosomal RNA
Rfam family: Bacterial small subunit ribosomal RNA
Source: RNAcentral
UACGUAGGGGGCAAGCGUUGUCCGGAUUUAUUGGGCGUAAAGAGCUCGUAGGUGGUUCGGUAAGUCGGAUGUGAAAUCUCCAGGCUCAACCUGGAGGGGUCAUUCGAUACUGCCGUGACUAGAGUUCGGUAGGGGAGUGUGGAAUUCCUGGUGGAGCGGUGAAAUGCGCAGAUAUCAGGAAGAACACCCGUGGCUAAGGCGGCUCUCUAGUACGUGACUGACGCUGAGACGCGAAAGCGUGGGGAGCGAACAGG